UGAGGAAUAUUGGUCAAUGGGCGAGAGCCUGAACCAGCCAAGUAGCGUGCAGGAAGACGGCCCUAUGGGUUGUAAACUGCUUUUAUACGGGGAUAAAGUGAGCCACGUGUGGCUUAUUGCAGGUACCGUAUGAAUAAGGACCGGCUAAUUCCGUGCCAGCAGCCGCGGUAAUACGGAAGGUCCGGGCGUUAUCCGGAUUUAUUGGGUUUAAAGGGAGCGUAGGCCGUCUGUUAAGCGUGUUGUGAAAUGUCGGGGCUCAACCUGGGCAUUGCAGCGCGAACUGGCAGACUUGAGUGCGCAGGAAGUAGGCGGAAUUCGUGGUGUAGCGGUGAAAUGCUUAGAUAUCACGAAGAACUCCGAUUGCGAAGGCAGCUCACGGGAGCGCAACUGACGCUGAAGCUCGAAAGUGCGGGUAUCGAACA
RNAcentral lists this ribosomal RNA (422 nucleotides) under uncultured Prevotella sp. Its description in RNAcentral is "bacterial SSU rRNA". It matches the Rfam family "Bacterial small subunit ribosomal RNA", at positions 355 to 774 of the family's 1533-position model. The record is from RNAcentral. Lineage: Bacteria; Pseudomonadati; Bacteroidota; Bacteroidia; Bacteroidales; Prevotellaceae.